UUCGGAUCGGAGUCUGCAACCCGACUCCGUGAAGCUGGAUUCGCUAGUAAUCGCGCAUCAGCCAUGGCGCGGUGAAUACGUUCCCGGGUCUUGUACACACCGCCCGUCAAGCCAUGGAAGCCGGGGGUGCCUGAAGUGUGCAGCCGCAAGGAGCGCCCUAAGGUAAAACCGGUGACUGGGGCUAAGUCGUAACAAGGUAUC
This 201-nucleotide ribosomal RNA is filed under the name uncultured bacterium. RNAcentral's name for it is "partial 16S ribosomal RNA". It matches the Rfam family "Bacterial small subunit ribosomal RNA", at positions 1292 to 1500 of the family's 1533-position model. The record is from RNAcentral.